UUCCAGACUCCUACGGGAGGCAGCAGUGGGGAAUAUUGGGCAAUGGAGGAAACUCUUACCCAGCAAUGCCGCGUGAGUGAAGAAGGUCUUCGGAUUGUAAAGCUCUUUGAUUGGGGAUGAAUAAAUGACGGUACCCAAAGGACAAGCCCCGGCUAAAUACGUGCCAGCAGCCGCGGUAAUACGUAUGGGGCAAGCGUUAUCCGGAUUUACUGGGUGUAAAGGGAGCGCAGGCGGCUUGGCAAGUCUGAUGUGAAAGGCUGGGGCUCAACCCCAGGACUGCAUUGGAAACUGUUAGGCUGGAGUGUCGGAGAGGUAAGCGGAAUUCCUAGUGUAGCGGUGAAAUGCGUAGAUAUUAGGAGGAACACCAGUGGCGAAGGCGGCUUACUGGACGACAACUGACGCUGAGGCUCGAAAGCGUGGGGAGCAAACAGGAUUAGAUACCCGUGUAAA
Molecule: ribosomal RNA, 450 nt
Filed under: uncultured bacterium
Lineage: Bacteria
Description: bacterial SSU rRNA
Rfam family: Bacterial small subunit ribosomal RNA
Source: RNAcentral